This is a non-coding RNA of Macaca mulatta (Rhesus monkey), 3643 nucleotides long. The record is from RefSeq and is a predicted model, not a curated record. NCBI's taxonomy places the organism in Eukaryota, Metazoa, Chordata, Mammalia, Primates, Cercopithecidae.
UAUCUAUGAGCAUCGAAUAUUUUUCCAUUUGUUUGUGUCAUCUCUGAUUUCUUUGAGUAGUAGUUUGUAGUUCUCCUUGUAGAGAUUGCUGGCCCCCCUUGUUCACUGUACUCCUAGGUGUUUUAUUCUUUUUGUGGCAAUUGCGAAUGGGAGUUCUUUCGUGAUUUGGCUCUCAACUUGACUAUUGUGGGUAUAUAGGAAUACUAGUGAUUUUUGCACAUUCUAAAAUUUUUAAAUUAAAAUCUUAUCACCUCUAAAAGAGUUGCCCUAUAGUUUUAUUAUUUUUUCUUUUCAUGGGCUUGGUGUUUUAUUUACUUAUUUUCUUUAUCCUACUAACUUAAUAUAGGAAGCAAACAACAAGCAAGAAAACUAUUAACUGUAAAUUAUUCAUUGUAAAACUAUUAACAAUAUAUGUGAUAAGGAAGAUGGGGAAGACUGUAAUAAUAAAACCUAGAUUAUGGGAUGCUACUUAAAUUUAGCACAAUAUUUAGCUCUCAACUACCUGUUAACCCAUACGAAAGGGAAAUAGAAAGUCAUGUAGUGCUUAAACUUUAAAAAAGAAAGUAAAUUCUCCCAGUUCUGAAUCUAGAAAGAAAUUAAUAUCAUGAAAUUCUAUUUUAAAAAGGAAAACAGAAAAACAAAAAGGGGGCAAAACUAAACAUGUAAGUUUUACCUAUCAAAUUCAGUAAAAGAGCAACUAUUCAGUUACAGUGAUAAAGAGGCAAUGCCCUUAUAAAGAAGUUAUAUUGCUCUUUAACAGAGGAUCUUCAUAGGCUGAUACAGUGAAUGUGUAAUCUGUAAUUCUACAGCCUAAAUUAGAGAAUUUAAUAAGGAAAAAUAAAGAAAUAAGUAAUAAGAAUUUAAUGAGAAACAAUAAAGAAAUUUAGUAAGAAAAAAGGUUUUAAAUCUGUUCAACUGAUCAGGAACAGUUAUUAUGUGUCCUAUUCAACUUCUAUACCUAUCAUGUUAAUGAUAAUAAUGAUGAUGAUAGCUGAUACAUACACAGUGCUUUGUAUGAGCCAGCCACUGUUCCAAGUAUUUUACAAAUAUUAACCCCAAAAGUACCCUUUAUAAAAGGUCAGAAAUCCAAGGUGUAAUACAGAUAAAUUCUCCUUAUUCUAAGAGAGACUUUACACUGUUAAGACAAAUUGUUUCCCUAUAUAAAUGAGACUUUAGUAACUCAAAUUGCCUUUUCCAAUUUUAAUUUUUUUAAUAUCAAAUUUUUUUCUUGCAUAUUAUGUGUUUAAACUCUUUUGUCUUUGAAUUAUUUUAAUGUUGGCAGUAACUAAAUUUCAGGUGAGAACAAGAACUUGUAUAAACUAACAGAAACAUGUUGUUGCACCCAGGAUUCAUUCAUAUACUAAAGUUCAAAGAUGUGGGUGCCCAAUUCAAAAGUUAUAUGUCAGGAAAACGUUCAUAAAGUAAAAUAUUAUGUACACUAAACCCACUGGCAAAACUUUAAGAAUACUUUACCUCUGUCAACUCCAGAGCUUUAUUGUAGCCCAUAGAGUGUAGAGUUACCCAAAGGUCACAAGGAUCUCCCUCUCGAUCAUUAGCUUCCAUUAGAUUCAAAUCCAUAAAUCCUUGUCUUGUUAGUUCAUUCCUCUUUGUAUCAAAAUUAUCUGUUUAAACAACCAAAAGUUUUUUCUUACAUAAUUUAAAAAUUCAUAACUUUAAUAAAAUGUCUAUGAUAUAUUAUUAUUCAUAGAUAUUUAUUUUAAAAGAGGCCUAUGAAUCUAUGAGCAGUAUAGAAGUGGAAUAAAAAUGGCUCAAAACAUAACUCAGCAUAGAUACAUCAUAGUACACAAUUUCGUUUUUCAACAAAUCCUGAAAUUAUAAAUAGUGCAAAUAUAUUCUAAAAUUAGAGGAAACUGUAAUAUUUCUAGAUAAAUUCCAAUCUGCCUGCCUAUUUAGAGCAUACAUUGUUAUAUAAAAUGCUUCAUAUGUAUUUGCCACUUAAAGUCAGCAGAAACUGGAUGAAUUUGAUAUAAUACUCCCCAAACUACUAGGGUUUCAGAAAGAAAGAUAUAAAUAGUGUCAUAUUUAAGAUUACUAUAUGCCUGAUUCCUCUAAUUUUAGCUAAAUUGUCCCUGAGUCUUGAAAGACAGAUAGAUAAUGGGGAGCACUUUGGAAUCCAUGAAUCAACCACAUUUUCCCAGGUAAACAGACUCCCAACCUGGCUCACUUUGCCAAGCUUAGACCAUUUUAAGAUCCACACAUUACUAUCCCAGUGAAAGCAUACGUGAGUUAACCUCUCUUGACUGCAUUCUGGUCUCCUCACACCUCUUGUUCUGUGAUCUAUAGUUGGCUAUGGCUUUUUGGCUUUCCCUCUGACCUUGCAGUCUUUGGCUUAAAUAUGCAAGUACGUCUUCUCAGACUCCUUCUAAGUGAUAACUGACUUUGCCUCAUUCUCAGUGAUUUUCUUUGUCCACCUUGGCAUUUUGGCUUCAAUAUUUCCAUAGAUGGACUUUUUAAAUUCAACUCAAAUACGAAAAGCAUUGAAGAAUUUUUAACAUGUAUAAUAUAAACAACUUCCUGGAAACCUUAAUUUGUAAGUAAACCUCUAGCUUUUUGGCUUUUUGCUGCCCUCUCCUGGUCACAGUUUGUGGCUCUUGACCACUUCAGGCCCAGUGGUAUCAAGCGCAAGGACAAGUUUUUUGUCUUCUAAACCCCAAAGAGUAGAGGCUCAAAACUGAAAUUAUGAUUAAGUAAUUCACACUUUCUUUUAAGUUGAGUAUUAUACCAACUACCAAUUUAAGAAAAAUAAAUGUUAGCAUUUACAAACAAUGCUACUAUUUUCAAACUGUCCUAAAUGCUAUAAUAAUAUAUCAUGGAGAAGUUUGAUUUAUUUCUUAGAGAUGAAAAUGUGCUAUAUAUAUAUUUUUUUAUACAUCUGUUAAGAAAAAGAAAAGUGCUUACCUCUGCAGACAGCCCAAGCAUCUUCAUCACAUUUCUCACCACUUGUUCUCAAUUCAAAAAAAUUAUAUUCUUCAAGGCUAAGAAGACCAUUUCCAUCUAAAUCAAUUACUUCAAAUAUAUCUGAUAAAGUAGACCUAAAAUUAUAAAAAUAGUUAGUUAUUUCUUGUCACUAAGGCAACUACACUGAAGAAGGGUUCUAUGAGGAUAACAUUCAAAAGGAAUGUUAUACAAUUUCUUUAAACUAAAGUUAAUGUAUCCAAAUACAGUUUUGGCUCAGUCCAGUAUUACAUGAGAUAAAAAAGCUUCUAGAGCAACCACAGUAUCUCAAUGCAUAGUAAGAACUCAAUGAAUAGUAGUAGUUCCCUUCUUUUUUCCUUUCUCCAAUCUACUUUCUUCUUCUUCUCUACCUAUAGGGAGAAAUUGGUAGAUGUUUGACUGAAGUUGACUUGCCAAAUGUGUGGAACCCAGAAGUAAAUGACAAUCCCAGAUCUGCAAAUGGAGGAACAUUUUCAGAUGCUCAGAGGAUGAGUUGUUUUGUUUUGAUAUAUGUAUUUAUGGUGUACAAUGUGAUUUUUUGAUAUAUGUAUACAUUGUGGAAUGACUAAAUCAAGCUAAUUAACAUAUCCAUUAUCUUACAUAUUUAUCAUCCUUUUUUCUAGUGGGAACAUUUAAUAUCUAUUCUCUUAGCAAUUUUCAAGGAUAUAAUAUAUAACUACAAUCACCA